UCCUUUUGCACAUGCACACGGCACAGCAACAUUUCGCAGUUGGCAUUUUCAGCUGUUCAUUGCACCCAAAUUGUGUUUCUGCUAGAGCUAGUUUUUGCAACUUUGUGAAAAUUGUGCAAUACAGAUGGAUGGUAUGGAAUUCAUAGUGAACGUUAAUUAUAAUACAAUCACUAGCAUACGCUAAGCAACUAACUGGCUCAGUUUAAAUUAGUGAACGUGGAAGAAAUAUGGCCAGUUACCCGCAUUGCGCUGUUCGCGUUAAAGUCAAGAAAUGUGAGCCAAAUGUUCAGCCAGAGUGGCGCAAGUUUAGCGUCGACCCGCAAAUCACGUCGUUGGAAGUGCUCUACUCAUUGCUUGCUAAAGCCUUCGACAUUAAAUCGGAUUUCUCAAUCAAAUACAAAGCAUUUGAUCCAGCGGGCAAUGAAAUAUACUUAUGUGUACUGUCCGAUUGGGAUUUAGAUGCGGCUUUUCUACGUAUACAUAAUCUCUCCAUACAGACAGCAACGGAACCGUGUCUUAUGUUGCAAAUCGAUAUUAAACCAUUUACGGAGGUAAGAGAAUGGGACAUUGAAGCAGCAGCUACCACAAGCAGUGCAGUCAGUAGUGGUAGUGGCAGCGGCAAUACAAGUGUCAAUGCACUUUCUCCCAAUUUCUCAACCAAUACGGGUGCGCGCGAAGCUAUUUCGCCGCUACAGCAGUCAAUAGGGGCAUCACAAAAGUAUGUGCAAAAUAUGCAGACAAAAUUACCGGGUCUGAUAAUGAACCAUAUGGAGAAAACAUUUUCCAUCGUUCAAAAGGCAUUCAAUUUGUCCGAGGAAACAAUGGCAUCAUUGCCGCCACGACCGCCUUUGGCGGACAAUGAAUUCAGAUUGUUUUUAGAUGCGCUAGGACAAAUCAAACGUACAGAUGAGUUGCGUAAGGUUAUAUUCUUUGGGGGAAUCGAUCCAAGUUUGCGUCGGGUUGUGUGGAAACACAUUUUAAAUGUAUAUCCGCAUGGUAUGAAUGGUCACCAACGCAUGGAUUAUAUGCGGAGAAAAUCGGAACAAUACAUUAGGCUACGCGAUACGUGGAAGGAUGCAGUUAAGCAGGGUUGCAUGGCCGGCGAGCUUUCAUACGUCACCAGCAUGGUAAAGAAGGACGUUUUACGUACAGAUCGUCUGCAUCCUUUCUACGCCGGCAGCGACGACAAUCAAAAUAUUGCAUCACUUUUUAAUAUACUGACGACAUAUGCGCUCAAUCAUCCUUCUGUUAGCUAUUGUCAGGGCAUGUCGGAUAUCGCUUCUCCAUUACUAGUAACCAUGAACGAUGAAGCACAGGCUUACAUCUGUUUCUGCGCCAUAAUGUCACGAGUAAGGGGUAAUUUCAUGUUGGAUGGCAUAGCCAUGACGCAAAAAUUCGCGCAUCUAACCGAGGCGCUCAGUUUUUACGAUCCUGAAUUUUGGGAGUACUUAAAAUCACAACAGGCGGAUGAUUUGCUCUUUUGUUACCGUUGGCUAUUACUCGAAUUGAAGCGUGAAUUUCCGUUUGACGAUGCCCUGCGUAUGCUUGAAGUGCAAUGGAGUUCGUUAAAAUAUGAAACAAGUAUUGGAAAAGAACUGAACUUAUUCGAAAAGGAGUUUGUGCCUAUUUCGGAAAGCCCUGUUCCAACGACGUCCAGCUCACUUUCAAGUUCAUACGGCGCACCAAUAAGUCCCUCCUAUUUGCUGGUGAAGCAACGUGAAAAUCCUUACACCAAGGUGUGUGCACUUCGCCGCCAAAGCUCUUCUGCUUCAUUGAAUUCACUAAACUCUUCACUUAGCGCUGGUGGAGGAGUGAUAAACAGCUUGCGAUUAGAUGCAACGAAACGCCUUAAUCAGAGUUUGGACGAUAAUAUGCCACGCGCAGUGGCAUGCCGGCGACGUCACUCGUCAAAAGCUCAUCAAAGUUUAGACGAAUCCAAGAUGAUGUUGUUGAUGGAAGGUAUGGAAGAAGUAAUAAACGUCGAGUCCAAUAGUUUAACGUCCAAAACCAAGGCUGAAGAGAGUGCGGAAAAUUUCGAGGAUGACGAGGUUUUCACCAGUAACGAUAGUAGCGCCAAUAACGGUUCCAAAGAAAUUAAUCACUUCAUAUUUCAUCCAACAAAUCCGUUUAAAGAUGACGACCACAUUAAGGAAGAAAUACUUGAAUCGUACAAGUCGCCUGCCCCUUCUAAUAAAUCAUCUACAAAAGAUGGUAUGGCAGUGAAUGAUGCAGAAGAACUAAGUGAUGAAAUGGGACUGAUGGGAAAGAUUCCACAACUUCCUAAGGGGAUUGCCAAAUUGCAAAAUAAGAACAUUUUAUCGAAUUACAACAGCGUUAGCAAUAUAAUAGCUAAACAAAUUGCAAAUGCUUCCAAUGUGGGCGAGAGUGUUCGGCGUGUAAGCAGUGGCGGUGGUGGGCAUUUCAAGGACCUUAAAGAAAAAAUUGCUGCGACGAGUAGAAAAGGAUUGUCGUUCGAAGAGACAAACAUCAGUGCCACUGAAAGGUCGCAGCAAAAGUUGGUUAAAAAUUUCAAUGAAUUUUUGAAUUUCGCCUCAAUAAAUAAAAAUCGUAUUGCGGAUAAAUUUUCGACAACAUCACCGACGCUGUCAGGCAACAGUGCCACCAGCAGCAACUUUAGCAUGAACACUCACUGUAAGGAAAAAUCUAAAACACCUUCGCCCACGCAUGCCCACACACAGACAAGCGCAGCAGCUUCCGUCACAUCAGCAGCUGCAUUCACAACACCACAUCCACUUGUGCAUCUAACUCGAAGCGGUUUUGUCUCCUCCCUUGACGAAUCAGAUUCAUCGUCUGUGCCUGAUACCACAUGGAGUGGCUCCACCGCGGCGACAGCAAUACAACAAGCAAAUAAUGCCAGCAAUAAUAGUUUGCAAUCGGAGCUUGCAUCGCUUGGCUCUUCGGCGGCCCCAACACCCGACCGCACACCAACCUACGAACGCAAAGCUGACACAGCGGAAGAACGUGAACGAUAUGCAAGUUGUUUACGGGAGGAGGCGCGCACACCCAUCAAAAAGCUGCCAGCAGAACCAAGUUUAACGCCCGAUGAUAGUCAAGAUCAAGAGUAUUACCCAAUGACAACAGCCAUUACACGCGAAUUGCGCUUGGAAGCUGAUAAUUUGGACCGACAGGUAUUUGGAGAUCCUGUUGGCCUGCCGCCAUCUGUCAAUUGUGGCAUUGAGUAUGAAAAACUGGAUAAAGACUCCUUGGACUUGGUAGAGGAUCUGAAAGAAAAUGAAAUAGUUGCAUGUCCUGAUAUAAGCGAGCUCCUUAUACGCCGUCGAAGCCGAAAUAGUCGCACGAAAAGCAGCAUAGAACCUUUGCAGCAUGUGUCCACCAGCACAGCAUGGCACGAUGUAGAUGAGCUGCUUAGCGAGGCAAUUGAUAACAACUAUAAUGACGGCCAAGUAAAUGGCGUCGCUGAAAACACUGCAUUACCAGUGCAAAACAUGCUCAAUCCCUUUGUCGAUACAACCACGAAUUUGCGAAUAGAUGGCGUGACAGGUGUACUGCCCAACAGUAGUAGUUUGCCAGAAGUAUUGGUGCCGAUUUCCACAGACACCGCCAAUGCAUCGCCUGUAGAGUUGGCCACAAAUGCAGUUGAUGAAAUUUCAUUCGCUAAACCAACAGCACGAAAUGAAGAAGUGGCGGCAGCUGAUGUAAGUGCAUCCGGUGGUGGUGUCUCACUGGGGCCCACCCCGCCAGUCUUGCCGCCGCCCACAGAAUUCGGCGGUGGCAAUCCUUUUCUUGUAUUUCUCUGUUUAACAUUGCUGCUUCAACACCGUCAAACGAUUAUGAAAAAUGGCAUGGACUACAAUGAGAUUGCAAUGCAUUUCGAUAAGAUGGUGCGCAAGCACGAUGUGACGCGGGUACUCAAUCAAGCGCGUCGCAUGUAUAUCGAUUAUCUGAAAGUGCAAAAUGCCUACAAGCAACGACUACAACAGCAAGCGGCUGAGUAUGCGGCAAACAAUGAUAUAAAUAGGAAUUCAAAGGCGAAUGAUGCAGCAGUGGCGCCGAUACAGCGCACAGGACCAAGUUACUGUGGCACGCUUAGCAGCACAACAGCAAAGUCAUAGAAACGAGGGAGGAAGAGAGAUUGGACAGUUGUGCGGUGAAAGGGCACAGCUAAAAACAACUAUAAAGAGACACCAAAGAACUUUUUGAAAACUAACCCAGAUAGGCAGCCACGAAAUUGUUUUUGACAAUUAAUACUACAGGCUUUGGCGGCAAAGUUAUUCAAAGAGCUGUACUCGUAAAACGCGUAAUCCAAACGUUGAUGGCGAUUAAAAAAAAAUCGUCCUGAACAAUGAUGCACGUUUUUACCUAAACGGAUUCGUUAAUAAGAAAAACUGCACCCAUUUGAUUUGGUUUUUAGGCUGGUGGAGUCAUCGCACCGUACUUUUCCGAUAUUUAUGCCGACAACGGCCCUAUCGCGAACAUCUGCGGUCUUAUCGAAUUACUCUAUAGUUUACAUGUGAGAUUUAUUAAAAUGUUUGCUUUAUUUCCAAGCUGCAUGAACGAUUUGGCAUACGCUGAUUACUGUAAGCCCUCAGUCCCUGGCUGCAUAAAAUUUUACUUUAGACCGAUAGCGCGAGUUCUUUCCACAAUGAAACAGACGUGUAUAUUAUUUUUCUUUUCAGCCGCAUGCUAGUACCUGUGCACAACAUCAGAAACUACAUUUAGGACUGGGAGUUCUACUCGAAUUUUUGUAUAUGCGGAUACUCGAAUAUCUCAUAAAAAGGGGUAUUCCCGGAUAAGAAAAGAGAACGGAUAUUAACAAAAUAUCCCAAUCUUACACGGAUGCACAAAUAUCCGAAGGGAUAUGCGAAUAAUCCCAGCCCUUUAUGGAUGCCAAGUCAAAGGAUCUCUUUACCCAAAAACCUUCCAUGCAUAGGUACAUACAUAUUUUUUGGGUUUAAUUAAACCAAGUUCAUUAGAAAGCUCGUAUUGUAACAGUAUACAACUUUUUUUUGGGGAAUGAUGCUGGAGUGACAAUCCUUGGGCCAGAUGUAAAUCUGGGUCGUUCCGCUGGCGUAUGUAGAAAGCAGAGCAAUCUAUCCUGUUCGAUAUCCCUCUUCCAUAUCCUUGUUCUAAUUCGUCAAAGUUUCUGCGUCGUAUAAAAGAACGGGCACAAUAUGAGAUCUGUAAAUCGUGUGAAAUUGGCUUCUCAGUUCCCUUGAUAAAAAGGUAUUCCUUUGAGGAACGCACUUCGAUCAGGAGAUCUAUUUUUCCCUCUUGCUCCUUACAGCACCUUGCUCAACCCUAGCUCCCUUAGGAAAUGCAGUAGGUUGUUUGGUGUCAUCAAGUGCAUGCGAAUGCAUGGCUUCCCUCCUCUCCUCGACACCACAUAACAUUCGAAUAGCAUGGCUCAGAAGUUUCAGCUGUCCUGCUACGGAAACGAGUUUAUGUAGGUGACUUCUUAGUCUGCAAUGACCUGUUAAGAUAUCUAUUCGAAUUCUUAGUUUGUGUUUCGGGAAGUCAAUAAGCUAAUCAUAUAUUUUCCGAUUGCAUCCUUCCAAUACUACUCCGUGUAUUUUCGGGUUAUUCACCGUCGGAAUUGGUUCGCCGCCGUCGUGAAUUCCCAGCUGUAGUCUAACCUUCCUCUUAACUUGCGUUGGUUGCGCAUCUCGCACAUAUGUAAGUGUCUCUCGUUGCUCACUAAGCUGCCCAGAAAAAAAAAUUGCACCGGGGACAUCAUAAUAGGAUCAGAACUUU
This is an RNA transcript of Rhagoletis pomonella (apple maggot), 5733 nucleotides long. RefSeq lists it as uncharacterized. The record is from RefSeq and is a predicted model, not a curated record. Lineage: Eukaryota; Metazoa; Arthropoda; Insecta; Diptera; Tephritidae. The transcript has 6 exons.